Molecule: ribosomal RNA, 551 nt
Filed under: uncultured bacterium
Lineage: Bacteria
Description: partial 16S ribosomal RNA
Rfam family: Bacterial small subunit ribosomal RNA
Source: RNAcentral
UGGGGAAUUUUGGACAAUGGGCGAAAGCCUGAUCCAGCAAUGCCGCGUGUGUGAAGAAGGCCUUCGGGUUGUAAAGCACUUUUGUCCGGAAAGAAAUCCUUGGCUCUAAUACAGUCGGGGGAUGACGGUACCGGAAGAAUAAGCACCGGCUAACUACGUGCCAGCAGCCGCGGUAAUACGUAGGGUGCAAGCGUUAUCGGAAUUACUGGGCGUAAAGCGUGCGCAGGCGGUUUGCUAAGACCGAUGUGAAAUCCCCGGGCUCAACCUGGGAACUGCAUUGGUGACUGGCAGGCUAGAGUAUGGCAGAGGGGGGUAGAAUUCCACGUGUAGCAGUGAAAUGCGUAGAGAUGUGGAGGAAUACCGAUGGCGAAGGCAGCCCCCUGGGCCAAUACUGACGCUCAUGCACGAAAGCGUGGGGAGCAAACAGGAUUAGAUACCCUGGUAGUCCACGCCCUAAAGCGAUGUCAACUAGUUGUUGGGGAUUCAUUUCCUUAGUAACGUAGCUAACGCGUGAAGUUGACCGCCUGGGGAGUACGGUCGCAAGAUUAAAA